Molecule: ribosomal RNA, 443 nt
Filed under: uncultured bacterium
Lineage: Bacteria
Description: partial 16S ribosomal RNA
Rfam family: Bacterial small subunit ribosomal RNA
Source: RNAcentral
CCUACGGGAGGCAGCAGUGGGGAAUAUUGGGCAAUGGGCGCAAGCCUGACCCAGCAACGCCGCGUGAAUGAAGAAGGCUUUCGGGUUGUAAACUUCUUUUCUCAGGGACGAAGAAAGUUACGGUACAUGAGGAAUAAGCCACGGCUAACUACGUGCCAGCAGCCGCGGGAAUACGUAGGUGGCAAGCGUUAUACGGAUGUACUGGGUGUAAAGGGCGUGUAGGCGGGACUGCAAGUCUGAUGUGAAAGGCAGGGGCGCAACCGUGGGCCUGCAUUGGAAAAGGUGCAGCUAGAGUGCAGGAGAGGUAAGCGGAAUUCCUAGUGUAGCGGUGAAAUGCGUAGAUAUUAGGAGGAACACCAGUGGCGAAGGCGGCUUACUGGACUGUAACUGACGUUGAGGCGCGAAAGCGUGGGGAGCAAACAGGAUUAGAUACCCCAGUAGUC